UGCCUCCUGGUGCUUAUCACAGGUUGUGGUCUUACACUGACUGUAUAGAUAAAGAGGAGGAAAAGUAAACCUAUCCCAUAUACAGUUCAAUCCAGGCCCUGUGCCUGGUCUGCACUGUGCAUGGAUGACAUGG
This 133-nucleotide small nucleolar RNA is filed under the name Castor canadensis (American beaver). RNAcentral's name for it is "Small nucleolar RNA SNORA51 (ENSCCNG00000001637.1)". It matches the Rfam family "Small nucleolar RNA SNORA51". From Rfam's summary of the family: ACA51 is a member of the H/ACA class of snoRNA that guide the sites of modification of uridines to pseudouridines. The record is from Rfam by way of RNAcentral. Lineage: Eukaryota; Metazoa; Chordata; Mammalia; Rodentia; Castoridae.